Molecule: ribosomal RNA, 32 nt
Filed under: uncultured soil eukaryote
Lineage: Eukaryota
Description: partial 28S ribosomal RNA
Source: RNAcentral
AGGUAGGACUACCCGCUGAACUUAAGCUAUCA